CCUAGCCAGUAUGCCUGAGCAUAGAGUACUUUAGUUCAGCCCCCCGAAACUAAGCGAGCUACUUCAAGACAGCCUAUGUUGGGCAAACCCGUCUCUGUUGCAAAAGAGUGGGACGAUCUUCAAGUAGAGGUGACAAACCUAUCGAGCCUAGUAAUAGCUGGUUGUCUGAGAAGUGUAUAUAAGUUCAGCCUUCCGACUCCCCCCAUCACCGACAUCCUUGUCACCUAAGACUGAGGGCGACCGGUAGAGUUAGUCAAAGAGGGUACAGCCCCUUUGAAAAAGGACACAACCUCAACAGGAGACUUAAGAUCAUAAUCAACCCAAGGACACUUGUUUUAGUGGGCCUAAAAGCAGCCACCUAAGAAGAAAGCGUUAAAGCUCAUGCAAAUCCUGACCCCCAAUACCGAACCAAACUCUUCACUCCCUAAUCACUACCAGACCAUCCCACCCACCCUGGGAGAGACCCUGCUAGAAUGAGUAACAAGAGGGGCCUGCCCCUCUCCCUUACACAUGUGUAAGUCGGAACGGACUCUCCGCCGACAACUAACGAUCCCCCAUCAGAGGGGAAUGUAAAACUUCCUUGAUAACUAGAGAAACUAACACAACCCAUUCGUUAACCCAACACAGGUGUGCCCACUAGGAAAGACUUAAACAAAGGGAAGGAACUCGGCAAACACAAGCCUCGCCUGUUUACCAAAAACAUCGCCUCUUGCAAAACGAACGAAUAAGAGGUCCCGCCUGCCCUGUGACUAUAUGUUUAACGGCCGCGGUAUUUUGACCGUGCGAAGGUAGCGCAAUCACUUGUCUUUUAAAUGGAGACCUGUAUGAAAGGCACCACGAGGGCUUAGCUGUCUCCCCUUUAAGGUCAGUGAAAUUGAUCUCCCCGUGCAGAAGCGGGGAUAUACUCGUAAGACGAGAAGACCCUAUGGAGCUUAAGAUAUAAAGCGACCCAAGUCAAGCACCCCGCCGAGGGAACAGAACAAUAUGGACCCCGCUGAAAUAUCUUCGGUUGGGGCGACCGCGGGGAAAGACAAAACCCCCACAUGGACUGGGGCCAUAACAGCCUCAAAACCUAGACCCACAGGUCAAAGCAACAGUACUUCUGACCACCAAAGAGCCGGCAAAGCCGAUCGACGGACCGAGUUACCCUAGGGAUAACAGCGCAAUCCCCUCCCAGAGCCCUUAUCGACAAGGGGGUUUACGACCUCGAUGUUGGAUCAGGACAUCCUAAUGGUGCAGCCGCUAUUAAGG
Molecule: ribosomal RNA, 1251 nt
Filed under: Ceratoscopelus warmingii
Lineage: Eukaryota; Metazoa; Chordata; Actinopteri; Myctophiformes; Myctophidae
Description: 16S ribosomal RNA
Rfam family: Bacterial large subunit ribosomal RNA
Source: RNAcentral